UACGUAGGGUGCGAGCGUUGUCCGGAAUUACUGGGCGUAAAGAGCUCGUAGGUGGUUUGUCGCGUUGUCCGUGAAAACUCACAACUCAAUUGUGGGCGUGCGGGCGAUACGGGCAGGCUAGAGUUCGGUAGGGGAGACUGGAAUUCCUGGUGUAGCGGUGAAAUGCGUAGAUAUCGGGAGGAACACCUGAGGCGAAGGCGGGCUACUGGGCUGAUACUGACGCUGAGGCGCGAAAGCUAGGGGAGCAAACAGG
RNAcentral lists this ribosomal RNA (253 nucleotides) under uncultured bacterium. RNAcentral describes it as "partial 16S ribosomal RNA". It matches the Rfam family "Bacterial small subunit ribosomal RNA", at positions 524 to 776 of the family's 1533-position model. The record is from RNAcentral.